Pelobates cultripes (western spadefoot toad) is the source of this 88-nucleotide non-coding RNA. NCBI's taxonomy places the organism in Eukaryota, Metazoa, Chordata, Amphibia, Anura, Pelobatidae. The record is from the annotation of a GenBank genome assembly.
AUAUAUAUAUAUAUAUAUAUAUAUAUAUAUAUAUAUAUAUAUAUAUAUAUAUAUUAGGCCCCCGCCCAUCACCCAUGGGUGGGGGCCA